Molecule: transfer RNA, 74 nt
Filed under: Gemmatimonadota bacterium
Lineage: Bacteria; Pseudomonadati; Gemmatimonadota
Description: Gemmatimonadetes bacterium (activated sludge metagenome) tRNA-Met
Rfam family: tRNA
About the family: Transfer RNA (tRNA) molecules are approximately 80 nucleotides in length. Their secondary structure includes four short double-helical elements and three loops (D, anti-codon, and T loops).
Source: RNAcentral
CGCGGGGUGGAGCAGUCUGGUAGCUCGUCGGGCUCAUAUCCCGAAGGUCGUGGGUUCAAAUCCCACCCCCGCAA